Long non-coding RNA from Zingiber officinale, 1249 nucleotides. RefSeq lists it as uncharacterized. The transcript is spliced from 3 exons. Lineage: Eukaryota; Viridiplantae; Streptophyta; Magnoliopsida; Zingiberales; Zingiberaceae. The record is from RefSeq and is a predicted model, not a curated record.
CCUUUUUCUUUCUCUUCCACCGAACUCGUGCCCGAUGUCGUUUCCUCCUCCUUCGCGUCGUCUCCUCCGAUCUGCCCUAACGCAAGCGGCGGUUUCUUCCUACCUCCGGUACAAAAGUCGUGGCCGAGGGUUUUUGCAACCCUAUCUCUUCCCCUUCCCCGCGAGUACAAAGACUCACCACCUCUUCUCCUCUCCCGAGCACCAGCAGCCGGCUAAACCCCUCUGCCCUCUGCGAAGACGCCGCCGUCGCACGGAGCAGCACGACGCCCUACAACCGACGCCUCACUGAAGCUUCCUCUCCCUUGCCGACAUCUCAUCGUCGCGGAGGUCCUUACCGCACUGAUCGCCACGGAGGGCUCCGUCGACAGCAGCCUUUCACUUUUCCCUAGAUCCGAUCACUGUAGUCGGCCGGUGCUUUGUUGCUAGCGUACCUAUGCCCUAGAUUGCCGGAAGCUUCGGUAGGUCUUUGGUUAGGAGCAACAACCCAAGCCUUGGUGUUCCCUUCUGUGCCCUAAUUUCACUGUUGGGUCUUCCUUCAGCCACCUCUUCUAUCCAUUUCUGUGAAGACUCUGACAGAGGAGAAACGAUUGUCGCCGUUUUAGAUUCUCCUAAUUCCGGCCACCGUUUUACGAUAGCACGCAUCUCCUCCUUUCUGAUCAGUUGAGCAUCAACAGGAGUUUUGGUUUUGGUGGAUCAACAAGCACGGCUGUGAAUUUAGGGCUGUAAUGGAAGCCAGUUGUGGGACACAGCUUUUGCUGUUCGUGCAAUUAUGUCAACUGAUCUUUCUCAGAAAUUUGGUCUAACACUCAAGAAGGCUCACUAAUUCUUUAAAAGUUCACAGAACAAGAAACUUACUAAGUGCACUGGCUAUAAUGGAGUUGACCUGAAAGAUUGCAUCUAACCUCAAGGGUAUGAGUAGCAAGUACUUCGACGAUUGUAAUGAGGAGGAUAAAGUAACCACGUCAAGUAUGAAGAAUUAGUAAGAAAGCUUUGGGAUUUAAGCAAGAAGAUGGUUAAAACCAAUGAACAAAGAACAUUCAAGGCAAAAACAUAAGUAGCAUCUACCAAGAUCUUUAAGUACAUGCAAUAAGAUGUAGUCGAGAGAAGUACUUGUGAGUGUAUAUCAGUUCAAAGCCAAUGAGCAAAGAACUCAAAGAAAGCAUUUGUGAUUAUGAGAAUUCUAAUAUUUGAAUGCAAUUGGGUCGGGUCGGGUCAGUCCUCAUAGGCGACCCGUUUAGCCAAUAUCCUU